RNAcentral lists this ribosomal RNA (301 nucleotides) under uncultured bacterium. RNAcentral's name for it is "partial 16S ribosomal RNA". It matches the Rfam family "Bacterial small subunit ribosomal RNA", at positions 509 to 807 of the family's 1533-position model. The record is from RNAcentral.
CAGUCGCCGCGGGAAAACGAAGGGGGCUAGCGUUGCUCGGAAUCACUGGGCGUAAAGGGUGCGUAGGCGGCUUUGUAAGUUAGAGGUGAAAGCCCGGAGCUCACCUCCGGAAUUGCCUUUAAGACUGCAGAGCUAGCAGGUGAGAGAGGUGAGUGGAAUUCCGAGUGUAGAGGUGAAAUUCGUAGAUAUUCGGAAGAACACCAGUGGCGAAGGCGGCUCACUGGCUCAUACUGGACGCUGAGGUGCGAAAGCGUGGGGAGCAAACAGGAUUAGAUACCCCGGUAGUCCCUGUCUCUUAUAC